Molecule: small nuclear RNA, 88 nt
Filed under: Myotis davidii
Lineage: Eukaryota; Metazoa; Chordata; Mammalia; Chiroptera; Vespertilionidae
Description: U2 spliceosomal RNA
Rfam family: U2 spliceosomal RNA
About the family: U2 is a small nuclear RNA (snRNA) component of the spliceosome (involved in pre-mRNA splicing). Complementary binding between U2 snRNA (in an area lying towards the 5' end but 3' to hairpin I) and the branchpoint sequence (BPS) of the intron results the bulging out of an unpaired adenosine, on the BPS, which initiates a nucleophilic attack at the intronic 5' splice site, thus starting the first of two transesterification reactions that mediate splicing.
Source: Rfam by way of RNAcentral
AUCGCUUCUCGGCCUUUUGGCUAAGAUCAAGUGUAGUAUAGAAGGUAAAUAAAUCCCAGAAUAAAAUUUAAAAAAAGAAAGAAAAUAA